GAUGAACGCUGGCGGCGUGCCUAAUACAUGCAAGUCGAACGAGGUGCUUUUGUAGCAAUACGAGAGUAUCCUAGUGGCGAACGGGUGAGUAACGCGUUGGUGACCUACCCAAAGUGUGGGAUAACAGUCCGAAAGGAUUGCUAAUACCGCAUGUGGUCUUCGGGUUUAGAAACUGAUGACUAAAGGAGCAAUUCGCUUUGGGAGGGACCUGCGUCCCAUCAGCUAGUUGGUGAGGUAAUGGCUCACCAAGGCUACGACGGGUAGGGGACCUGAGAGGGUGACCCCCCACAAUGGAACUGAAACACGGUCCAUACACCUACGGGUGGCAGCAGUAGGGAAUAUUGCACAAUGGGCGAAAGCCUGAUGCAGCAACGCCGCGUGUGCGAUGAAGGCCUUCGGGUCGUAAAGCACUUUUCUGGGAGAUGAGCAAGGACAGUAUCUCAGGAAUAAGUCUCGGCUAACUACGUGCCAGCAGCCGCGGUAAU
RNAcentral lists this ribosomal RNA (485 nucleotides) under uncultured bacterium. RNAcentral's name for it is "bacterial SSU rRNA". It matches the Rfam family "Bacterial small subunit ribosomal RNA", at positions 28 to 524 of the family's 1533-position model. The record is from RNAcentral.